Molecule: long non-coding RNA, 836 nt
Filed under: Equus asinus (donkey)
Lineage: Eukaryota; Metazoa; Chordata; Mammalia; Perissodactyla; Equidae
Description: lncRNA (ENSEASG00005028201.1)
Source: RNAcentral
CAUCAUGGUGAGGACAGCAGGUGAAAAGGUGGAGAGAGCCUGGACUUUAAUGACCUCACUGGGCCACUGAACCAACCCUUGAAAAUUCCUCUGGACUUCUUAGAAAAGAGGAGAAUAAAUAUCCUUAUUGUUUAAGGCAUUUUUAGUUGGGAGUUCUCUGCCAAAUUUGAAACAGCUGAAAGUAUCCUAAAAGAUAUUUCCAAUUUAGUCUCAGAGAGCCCUGCAUACAAGUUGCUGUGUUAUUAAAAUGGAAACUCGGUUUUCUUAUACCUUACCCAACUGUGGAGAGGGAGACGUCCUACUGAUGGUAACAACUAUUACUUUUUUCCCAGCUCUGGUCCCCACCCGCAUGGAGCAGGACCUCCUGUGGUGACAUCCCCCUUCCCUCCACCACAAAGUCUCACCCAGUUAUUUCUCAUAGUCUUCAGGGUUGUCUCAAGUGAGCUCGUAUCUGCUUCUCGUGAAGCCUCUUGAUGGUACAUCUUCAAAUUAUCUCCCCUCCUUGUUAAUGCGGGAAGAGCACUGAAGUGGGAAUGAAGAGAUUUGCUUCUUGUCUAGACUCUGCCAUUGACCCACAAAAUGGCCUUGGAUAAUCCCCUUCCUCCUGCUGGGCUCCAGCUGCCAUCUGGACCGUGAUGAGCUCCUGGAGCACUGCAUCGGGAGGGCUGCCGGUCCCUGCCAACUAGACACAGAGGGAAAUUGGCUCCAAAACUGGAACAAGCUUCAAAUCCUGUUCUGGGAAGACCAGGGCUGGGAAAGGGGUGGCUUGGGGCUGGUUCCCUCCUGCACUGACACGGAGGAGCUGGAAGGCCAUGCCCUGCCUGGGAUGCAGCCUG